Non-coding RNA from Acanthosepion pharaonis, 110 nucleotides. The record is from the annotation of a GenBank genome assembly. Lineage: Eukaryota; Metazoa; Mollusca; Cephalopoda; Sepiida; Sepiidae.
UGGCUACAUCACUUUGAAACGUCGGUUUCUGUACGAUUACCGAAGUUAAGCAAAGUCAAGCUUGGUCAGUACCUAGAUGGGUGACCGCUUGUAAAUACCAGGUGCUGUAA